CAGCGCGCGCCCGGGGCAUUUAAAGGGACAGGCCCCCGCGCCGGAGUUGCCCCGCGGCCGCCUCUCGAAGGGGUCCUCGGUCGCCGCGCGAGGUCUGAAUUGGGGGACCCUCCCCUCCCCCGGCGCCACCUUCGAGUUACACCCGCCGAGAAGAGCAAUAGGGUCUGCGUCUGGAGCUCCGACAGGGUCGUCGUCAGCUUUGAGAGGGCGUGUUACUCGAUAGUAACUCCCAAAUGAAGAAGAGAUAAAAAGGAAGAAGCUGAAGGAUGAUGGGAGUAGGAAGGAAGAGAAGAAAAGAAGAAGGCAAAAACCAACCAACUGAACACCACUAUCACCACCAAAAAAAAGAGGUGGGAAAUGAACAGGGAUGAAAGUUUCAAGCAGGUGGCUUUGGGGCCAUGAGCCCAGCCCCUGGCCAGCACACACCCCAGAGCUUUGUGGGAAUUACAAACAGGUGGACCUUCCUUAAGUUGGUGCAGACCUACCCAGGGCUGCCACGUGACUACCUGAGCACAGACUGGCUUCCAGUCCCCGGUGCACCCUUGUCUAGGCACCUCUGUGCCCACGGAAUGACACAAACGGACUAAACAACACAAUGAGAGGGCUUGGAAUGUUCUGCCUGGUGGCGUGGCUGUUUCUGUGCACCCCACGGAUCUCAUCUCUCUGUAGCCAGGGCCGUGCAUUUUCGUUCCCCCGGGGCACCUGGCACAUGGAAUUAACUCGCCAUUUCUAAAAUGAAACUGACUUGCAGUACACGGAAACCAGACGGAAGGGGGGGCCCACAGGAACCCGUGCGUGGGCAGAGCAUCAGCAUCUCAGAGCACGAGAUCUGCAGAGUGUGGUAUCACCAGCGGGUCACUGCAAGCAAAGCGCACGUACUUGAAAACAAAAUCAGCAGCCUCACACAAAUAAGAGUUGAACCAACAUUGGAAGUUCUGCCAUCGAGUGGACCCACAGAGCCCCAGAGAGUACAGUGGCUUCUGUCUACACACAGGCAGCGAAUCCCCAGAAGAGACACCUUGCUGAAUGCCUGUGGAAAGCUUCUAAGCACCAGAUUCCUGAAGAGAUGCCUCUUUCAGGUGUCUUCUGAUAAAAGACUUUUCAGUGGGAGGCCCAGGCUUGCCUCUGUGCAAGAACCAGAAUUCUGAGGAUGUUAGCUGCAUUAUUCCACUCAGGCUGCCGUAACAAAGUACCUCACACUGGGUGUCUUAACCAACAGAAGUUUAUUUUCCCACAAUUCCGAAGGCUGGAAGUCCAAGGUCAAAGUGUUGGCAGGUUUUGUGUCUUCUGAGGACUCUUUUUUGGGGGGCACCUGGGUGGCUCAGUCAGUUACGCAUCCAACUCUUGGUUUUGGCUCAGGUCAUGAUCUCACAGUUUGUGAGUUAGA
Molecule: long non-coding RNA, 1387 nt
Organism: Herpailurus yagouaroundi (jaguarundi)
Lineage: Eukaryota; Metazoa; Chordata; Mammalia; Carnivora; Felidae
Exons: 6
Source: RefSeq, a predicted model, not a curated record